AAAUUGAAGAGUUUGAUCAUGGCUCAGAUUGAACGCUGGCGGCAGGCCUAACACAUGCAAGUCGAACGGUAACAGGAAGCAGCUUGCUGCUUCGCUGACGAGUGGCGGACGGGUGAGUAAUGUCUGGGAAACUGCCUGAUGGAGGGGGAUAACUACUGGAAACGGUGGCUAAUACCGCAUAACGUCGCAAGACCAAAGAGGGGGACCUUCGGGCCUCUUGCCAUCAGAUGUGCCCAGAUGGGAUUAGCUUGUUGGUGAGGUAACGGCUCACCAAGGCGACGAUCCCUAGCUGGUCUGAGAGGAUGACCAGCCACACUGGAACUGAGACACGGUCCAGACUCCUACGGGAGGCAGCAGUGGGGAAUAUUGCACAAUGGGCGCAAGCCUGAUGCAGCCAUGCCGCGUGUAUGAAGAAGGCCUUCGGGUUGUAAAGUACUUUCAGCGGGGAGGAAGGUGUUGUGGUUAAUAACCGCAGCAAUUGACGUUACCCGCAGAAGAAGCACCGGCUAACUCCGUGCCAGCAGCCGCGGUAAUACGGAGGGUGCAAGCGUUAAUCGGAAUUACUGGGCGUAAAGCGCACGCAGGCGGUCUGUCAAGUCGGAUGUGAAAUCCCCGGGCUCAACCUGGGAACUGCAUUCGAAACUGGCAGGCUUGAGUCUUGUAGAGGGGGGUAGAAUUCCAGGUGUAGCGGUGAAAUGCGUAGAGAUCUGGAGGAAUACCGGUGGCGAAGGCGGCCCCCUGGACAAAGACUGACGCUCAGGUGCGAAAGCGUGGGGAGCAAACAGGAUUAGAUACCCUGGUAGUCCACGCCGUAAACGAUGUCUACUUGGAGGUUGUGCCCUUGAGGCGUGGCUUCCGGAGCUAACGCGUUAAGUAGACCGCCUGGGGAGUACGGCCGCAAGGUUAAAACUCAAAUGAAUUGACGGGGGCCCGCACAAGCGGUGGAGCAUGUGGUUUAAUUCGAUGCAACGCGAAGAACCUUACCUGGUCUUGACAUCCACAGAACUUUCCAGAGAUGGAUUGGUGCCUUCGGGAACUGUGAGACAGGUGCUGCAUGGCUGUCGUCAGCUCGUGUUGUGAAAUGUUGGGUUAAGUCCCGCAACGAGCGCAACCCUUA
RNAcentral lists this ribosomal RNA (1117 nucleotides) under Salmonella enterica. Its description in RNAcentral is "bacterial SSU rRNA". It matches the Rfam family "Bacterial small subunit ribosomal RNA", at positions 1 to 1107 of the family's 1533-position model. The record is from RNAcentral. Lineage: Bacteria; Pseudomonadati; Pseudomonadota; Gammaproteobacteria; Enterobacterales; Enterobacteriaceae.